RNAcentral lists this ribosomal RNA (35 nucleotides) under Xerocomus spadiceus. RNAcentral's name for it is "partial 28S ribosomal RNA". The record is from RNAcentral. RNAcentral also lists the same sequence under 1 other name. Lineage: Eukaryota; Fungi; Basidiomycota; Agaricomycetes; Boletales; Boletaceae.
UUGACCUCAAUCAGGUAGGACUACCCGCUGAACUA